Molecule: ribosomal RNA, 406 nt
Filed under: uncultured bacterium
Lineage: Bacteria
Description: partial 16S ribosomal RNA
Rfam family: Bacterial small subunit ribosomal RNA
Source: RNAcentral
AUUGAACGCUGGCGGCAGGCUUAACACAUGCAAGUCGAACGAGUGGCGGACGGGUGAGUAAUGUCUGGGAAACUGCCUGAUGGAGGGGGAUAACUACUGGAAACGGUCGCUAAUACCGCAUACCAUCAGCUGUUCCCAGAUGGGAUUAGCUAGUAGGUGGGGUAAUGGCUCACCUAGGCGACGAUCCCUAGCUGGUCUGAGAGGAUGACAAGCCACACUGGAACGGCGACACGGGCCAGACUCCGACGGGAGGAAGCAGUGGGGAAGAGUGCACAAUGGGCGCAAGCCUGACGGAGCAAUGCCGCGUGAGUGAGGAAGGUCUUCGGAUCGUAAAGCACUGUUAGGAGGGAAGCGGUACCUAAACAAAAAGCCACGGCUAACUCCGUGCCAGCAGCCGCGGUAAUAC